Molecule: ribosomal RNA, 467 nt
Filed under: uncultured bacterium
Lineage: Bacteria
Description: partial 16S ribosomal RNA
Rfam family: Bacterial small subunit ribosomal RNA
Source: RNAcentral
GACGAACGCUGGCGGCGUGCUUAACACAUGCAAGUCGAACGGAAAGGCUCCAGCUUGCUGGAGUACUCGAGUGGCGAACGGGUGAGUAACACGUGGGUAAUCUGCCCUGCACUCUGGGAUAAGCCUGGGAAACUGGGUCUAAUACUGGAUAUGACCUUUCUCCUUAUGGGGUUUGGUGGAAAGUUUUUCGGUGUAGGAUGAGCCCACGGCCUAUCAGCUUGUUGGUGGGGUGAUGGCCUACCAAGGCGACGACGGGUAGCCGGCCUGAGAGGGUGAUCGGCCACAUUGGGACUGAGAUACGGCCCAGACUCCUACGGGAGGCAGCAGUGGGGAAUAUUGCACAAUGGGCGGAAGCCUGAUGCAGCGACGCCGCGUGAGGGAUGACGGCCUUCGGGUUGUAAACCUCUUUCAGCAGGGACGAAGCGUAAGUGACGGUACCUGCAGAAGAAGCACCGGCUAACUACGUG